GACGAACGCUGGCGGCGUGCCUAAUACAUGCCAGUCGAGCGGACUUUCAAGAAGCUUGCUUUUUGAAAGUUAGCGGCGGACGGGUGAGUAACACGUGGGCAACCUGCCUGCAAGACGGGGAUAACUCCGGGAAACCGGGGCUAAUACCGGAUAAUAUCUUCCUUCGCAUGAAGGAAGGUUGAAAGGCGGCGCAAGCUGCCGCUUGCAGAUGGGCCCGCGGCGCAUUAGCUAGUUGGUGAGGUAACGGCUCACCAAGGCGACGAUGCGUAGCCGACCUGAGAGGGUGAUCGGCCACACUGGGACUGAGACACGGCCCAGACUCCUACGGGAGGCAGCAGGAGGGAAUCUUCCGCAAUGGACGAAAGUCUGACGGAGCAACGCCGCGUGAGCGAAGAAGGGCGUCGGAUCGUAAAGCUCUGUUGUCAGGGAAGAACAAGUAACGUUCGAACAGGGCGGUACCUUGACGGUACCUGACCAGAAAGCCACGGCUAACUACGUG
RNAcentral lists this ribosomal RNA (499 nucleotides) under uncultured bacterium. RNAcentral describes it as "partial 16S ribosomal RNA". It matches the Rfam family "Bacterial small subunit ribosomal RNA", at positions 28 to 507 of the family's 1533-position model. The record is from RNAcentral.